CGGCAUUUAAAUGUACAAGGUGCCAUGAUGUCUAGUUGAGAGGAGAGGGUGGAAUUGUAGAAGGAGGUUGCAGAACUAGGACAGGUGAGGUUUGAGAUAAGUAAAAGGAGAGUUUGGAGAUUAGUGGAGAAAUGCUCUAGGUCAAGACAUUGGAGGUUUCUGUGAGAGUGAUGUUCAGACGGUGGUGUCAAUUGGGUCUUAGGUAUGCCAAUGUCAAAAGUCAGCAGAUGG
This 231-nucleotide long non-coding RNA is filed under the name Pelobates cultripes (western spadefoot toad). Lineage: Eukaryota; Metazoa; Chordata; Amphibia; Anura; Pelobatidae. The record is from RNAcentral.